Molecule: long non-coding RNA, 119 nt
Organism: Oreochromis niloticus (Nile tilapia)
Lineage: Eukaryota; Metazoa; Chordata; Actinopteri; Cichliformes; Cichlidae
Exons: 2
Source: RefSeq, a predicted model, not a curated record
AGCACAUGAGUGCCUGUGUGUGCAUACCUGGUAUGUGCGUGCACGUGAGUGAGUGUGCAUAUAGGUGUGGAAGUAUAUUAGUUAAAACACUGUGGGUGUGUGUCUCUUCCUAGGGGCCA